Pelobates cultripes (western spadefoot toad) is the source of this 230-nucleotide non-coding RNA. The record is from the annotation of a GenBank genome assembly. Lineage: Eukaryota; Metazoa; Chordata; Amphibia; Anura; Pelobatidae.
CUGGAAUUACAUGCAGUAAUGCCUUCUAGACAACUCUGCAAUGUUAUGCCAUGACACCACACAGACAACCCUAUACGCUAAUGCAAUACAGUGAUCCCUAUCCCAAUCAGUCAGACUGUGGCAUUUUUAAUACAUUUGAAUCAGCAUCAGAAAUAUUCCCAAUGUGUUACAAAAAACUUUAAAAUUGAUUCAUCUAUGGAAAUCCCCAUUAAAUCCUAUGGUAGACAAAU